Molecule: ribosomal RNA, 330 nt
Filed under: uncultured bacterium
Lineage: Bacteria
Description: bacterial SSU rRNA
Rfam family: Bacterial small subunit ribosomal RNA
Source: RNAcentral
UGUGUAGGCGGUCGUUUAAGUUUGGUGUGAAAUCUCCCGGCUCAACUGGGAGGGUGCGCCGAAUACUGAAUGACUCGAGUGCGGGAGAGGAGAGUGGAAUUCCUGGUGUAGCGGUGAAAUGCGUAGAGAUCAGGAGGAACACCGGUGGUGUAGACGGCUCUCUGGACCGUAACUGACGCUGAGACACGAAAGCGUGGGUAGCAAACAGGAUUAGAUACCCUGGUAGUCCACGCCCUAAACGAUGCAUAUUUGGUGUGGGCAGUUCAUUCUGUCCGUGCCGGAGCUAACGCGUUAAAUAUGCCGCCUGGGGAGUACAGUCGCAAGGCUGAA